This 339-nucleotide ribosomal RNA is filed under the name Staphylococcus aureus. RNAcentral's name for it is "partial 23S ribosomal RNA". It matches the Rfam family "Bacterial large subunit ribosomal RNA", at positions 627 to 948 of the family's 2925-position model. Lineage: Bacteria; Bacillati; Bacillota; Bacilli; Caryophanales; Staphylococcaceae. The record is from RNAcentral.
GUUACGAUUUGAUGCAAGGUUAAGCAGUAAAUGUGGAGCCGUAGCGAAAGCGAGUCUGAAUAGGGCGUUUAGUAUUUGGUCGUAGACCCGAAACCAGGUGAUCUACCCUUGGUCAGGUUGAAGUUCAGGUAACACUGAAUGGAGGACCGAACCGACUUACGUUGAAAAGUGAGCGGAUGAACUGAGGGUAGCGGAGAAAUUCCAAUCGAACCUGGAGAUAGCUGGUUCUCUCCGAAAUAGCUUUAGGGCUAGCCUCAAGUGAUGAUUAGUGGAGGUAGAAAAGUGAGGGGAUGAACUGAGGGUAGCGAAGAAGUUACUAUCGGACCGGGAGAAAGCUGG